RNAcentral lists this transfer RNA (95 nucleotides) under Kwoniella mangroviensis CBS 8507. Its description in RNAcentral is "tRNA-Ser". It matches the Rfam family "tRNA". Rfam says of the family: Transfer RNA (tRNA) molecules are approximately 80 nucleotides in length. RNAcentral also lists the same sequence under 2 other names. Lineage: Eukaryota; Fungi; Basidiomycota; Tremellomycetes; Tremellales; Cryptococcaceae. The record is from RNAcentral.
GACCGGAUCGGAUAGUGGUUAUUCCGUUGCUUUGCUAGUUCGAGAUUCGAAAGGCAAUGCCGUGAGGCUCGUGAGUUCGAAUCUCACUUCGGUCG